AAUUUUACCCGAGCUUUGAAGGCAUUCCAUGUAACCUGCUGAAAUCGGGCGCUUUUUCAGCACGCAGAUGUGUCAACAUUGUCCGAUGUGAAACUGUGACGAAUCGUGCCACAUUUCAACUGGGAGUGCCAAGAAAAUUCCAACUGAUUGCUACCGAUCAUUGCUAGCUGUUGAAUUGAACCUGACCCAUUUGUGCAAUCCGUGGAACAUCCUAAUCCACAUUUUUGCUAUCUUCUCGCUGCGAUCGCCACAAAUUGACAUGUAUAUGGUGACACGAAUCGAAUUCCUCUAUAACGGCCAUGGCGGCUUACCUUGCAGUGUUUGUGUUCCUGCUUCUUGUUUGUUCGUCAUGCAGAGCUGAUGACAAGCUUACACCUGCAAGGCCGCUCUCCCCCGGCGACGAGCUCAUCUCCAGUGGCGGCGUCUUCGCUCUCGGCUUCUUCUCCCUGACGAACUCAACCUCGGACUUGUACGUCGGCGUAUGGUACAACCAGAUCCCCGUGCACACCUACGUGUGGGUCGCCAACCGCAACACCCCGAUCAAGAAGAGCUCCUCCGUGAAGCUGGUCUUGACCAACGAUUCCGACCUCGUGCUGUCCGACUCCAAUGGUGGCGGCGGCGGCGGCGCCGUCUGGACGACGGCGAAUUCGAACAACGUCGCCGCCGCCGGUGGUGGUGCUGGAGCGACGGCUGUGCUGCUCGACUCCGGCAACUUCGUCGUGCGGCUGCCGAACGGGUCUGAGGUAUGGCGGAGCUUCGAUCACCCGACGGACACCAUCGUGCCCAACGUGAGUUUCUCGCUGAGCUACAUGGCCAACAGCUUAGACCGCAUCGUCGCGUGGAGGGGGCCCAACGACCCGUCCGCCGGCGACUUCACCAUGGGCGGCGACUCCAGCUCGGACCUCCAGAUCGUCGUCUGGAACGGGACGAGGCCGUACUGGCGACGAGCGGCGUGGACCGGCGCGUCCAUCUUCGGCGUGAUCCAGACCAACACCAGCUUCAAGCUGUAUCAGACGAUCGACGGCGACAUGGCCGACGGCUACUCCUUCAAGCUGACCGUCGCCGACGGCUCGCCGCCGAUGCGCAUGACGCUGGACUACACCGGCGAGCUCACCUUCCAGAGCUGGGACGGCAACACGUCGUCGUGGACCGUCUUCUCCCGGUUCCCCACCGGCUGUGACAAGUACGCCUCGUGCGGGCCCUUCGGCUACUGCGACGGCAUCGGCGCCACGGCGACUCCGACGUGCAAGUGCCUCGACGGCUUCGUCCCCGUCGACAGCAGCCACGACGUCUCGAGAGGUUGCCGGAGGAAGGAGGAGGAGGUGGGAUGCGUCGGCAGGCGGCGGCGGCGAUGGCUUCUUGACCAUGCCGAGCAUGAGGACACCGGACAAGUUCUUGUACGUGAGGAACAGAAGCUUCGAUCAGUGCACCGCAGAGUGCAGCCGCAACUGCUCCUGCACGGCUUAUGCUUAUGCAAUCCUGAAUAAUGCCGAUGCGACGGAGGACCGGUCCAGGUGCUUGGUUUGGAUGGGGGAGCUCGUCGACACGGGCAAGUUCAGCGAUGGUGCCGGCGGCGAGAACCUCUACCUCCGGAUUCCUGGCUCACGAGCUAAUAACAAGACGAAAAGUACUGUUCUGAAGAUUGUACUGCCGGUUGCGGCUGGUCUUCUGCUGAUACUUGGAGGCAUAUGUCUUGUACGCAAAUCAAGAGGCAAUCAACCAAGCAAGAAAGUUCAGAGCAAAUAUCCAUUUCAACACAUGAAUGAUUCAAACGAAGUUGGGAGCGAAAAUGUAGAACUUUCUUCUGUUGACUUGGAUUCUGUCCUCACUGCAACAAACAAUUUCUCCGAUUACAACUUGCUUGGAAAAGGAGGUUUUGGAAAAGUUUACAAGGGAGUUUUGGAGGGUGGCAUAGAAGUUGCUGUCAAGAGGCUUAGCAAGGGUUCAGGGCAAGGUGUUGAGGAGUUCAGAAAUGAAGUGGUUCUGAUUGCUAAAUUACAACACAGAAACUUGGUUAGGCUUCUUGGUUGCUGCAUUCAUGAAGACGAAAAGUUACUCAUCUACGAAUACUUACCAAACAGAAGCUUGGAUGCCUUCCUUUUUGAUGCUAACAGAAAAAACACGCUUGACUGGCCGACAAGGUUCAAGAUAAUUAAAGGAGUAGCAAGAGGUCUUCUUUAUCUUCACCAGGAUUCAAGAUUAACAAUAAUCCAUAGAGAUCUAAAGACAAGCAACAUUUUGUUGGACACAGAAAUGAGUCCUAAAAUAUCAGAUUUCGGCAUGGCAAGGAUCUUUGGUGGAAAUGAGCAACAAGCUAAUACCACCAGGGUUGUCGGCACAUAUGGUUACAUGUCUCCUGAAUAUGCUUUGGAUGGCUAUUUUUCCGUCAAGUCUGACACCUAUAGUUUUGGUGUCAUACUGUUGGAAGUUGUGAGUGGCUUAAAGAUCAGUUCAGCCCAUCUCAAAGUGGACUGUUCAAACCUUAUAGCCUAUGCAUGGAGUUUAUGGAAAGAUGGAAAUGCAAGGGAUUUCGUAGACUCAUCCAUUGUGGAGAGCUGUCCACUUCAUGAAGUUCUACGAUGUAUACAUUUAGGACUCCUUUGCAUUCAAGAUCAACCAAGUGCUAGGCCACUGAUGUCAUCCAUUGUGUUCAUGCUGGAGAACGAAACUGCCGUGCUUCCUGCUCCAAAGGAGCCUAUAUAUUUCACAAGGAGGGAGUACGGGACAGACGAAGACACGAGAGAUAGCAUGAGAUCAAGAUCUCUGAACCACAUGAGUAAAACAGCAGAAGAUGGGCGUUAAAUGGUUAAUUCCGCUGUACAGAUCCCAAUUUUUUAAAACUGUUAUUCCAAUUGAACAAUACCAUUACAUUGUUUGAUUUAAAAAGGUUCUACUGGAUA
Molecule: non-coding RNA, 2900 nt
Organism: Oryza sativa Japonica Group (Japanese rice)
Lineage: Eukaryota; Viridiplantae; Streptophyta; Magnoliopsida; Poales; Poaceae
Source: RefSeq, a predicted model, not a curated record